CCAUGAAGGCAAGCGCUAUGUCGACUGUGUUUUUCACGGAAACCACAGGGCUGGGGAAAGUGGCUCAAUGAAUGUUUGUUGAAUCAGUGAAAAUGACACCUCUCCACUCUGCCUUCCAUAUCAUCUAGCUCUCAUGUCAGAGCAACGCACAGCAUCUCAAAGUUGCAGAAUUAUGUGACACACUGAAUAGGACCCAUGAGGGAGUGAGAGACUAACUCUUUAUGGCCAACGCCUGCUGUUGUGUUCAGAGGGCCCGAGCAUUCCCACAGGAAGAAGAGGAUUUCCCUCACUUCUGGGCAUACAAAUUUCCUUGGCCCUGUUGCCUGC
Suricata suricatta (meerkat) is the source of this 327-nucleotide long non-coding RNA. RefSeq lists it as uncharacterized. Lineage: Eukaryota; Metazoa; Chordata; Mammalia; Carnivora; Herpestidae. The transcript has 3 exons. The record is from RefSeq and is a predicted model, not a curated record.